Regulatory RNA element from Monodelphis domestica (gray short-tailed opossum), 46 nucleotides. It matches the Rfam family "Histone 3' UTR stem-loop". From Rfam's summary of the family: The mRNAs of metazoan histone genes lack a poly-A tail. 3' end processing occurs at a site between a highly conserved stem-loop (modelled by this family) and a purine rich region around 20 nts downstream (the histone downstream element, or HDE). The record is from Rfam. Lineage: Eukaryota; Metazoa; Chordata; Mammalia; Didelphimorphia; Didelphidae.
CCAAAGGCCCUUUUUAGGGCCACCCAUAUUCUCACUAAAGAGGUGU